RNAcentral lists this ribosomal RNA (279 nucleotides) under uncultured bacterium. RNAcentral describes it as "partial 16S ribosomal RNA". It matches the Rfam family "Bacterial small subunit ribosomal RNA", at positions 506 to 784 of the family's 1533-position model. The record is from RNAcentral.
UGCCAGCAGCCGCGGUAAUACGAAGGGCCCGAGCGUUGAUCGGAAUUACUGGGCUUAAAGGGUGCGCAGGCGGACUCGUUAGUGUCUUGUGAGAUCCCACGGCUCAACCGUGGAACUGCAGGGCAUACUGCGAGUCUUGAGGUAGGUAGGGGCAAUCGGAACUCUAGGUGUAGCGGUGAAAUGCGUAGAUAUCUAGAGGAACGCCAAAGGUGAAGACAGAUUGCUGGGCCUAUCCUGACGCUCAGGCACGAAAGCGUGGGUAGCGAAGAGGAUUAGAUA